RNAcentral lists this long non-coding RNA (1208 nucleotides) under Homo sapiens (human). RNAcentral's name for it is "hepatocellular carcinoma up-regulated long non- coding RNA". The record is from RNAcentral. Lineage: Eukaryota; Metazoa; Chordata; Mammalia; Primates; Hominidae.
CUACCCACUGAAAUGGAGUAGGUCGGUGAGCGCCGAUCUGCUGGAGAAUCUCAUUAUCCCAUCGGCGCUCUGCCUGCUCCUGGCCUCCAAGCCUCUGAAGCCCCUCGGGUUUCAGCUGCCGGCUACCCUCGAGCCCGUGGUGCCCACGAGAGAGGCGACUUUACGUCAGCGGCCCUGGGCUGAGAUUUGAGAACGCGACCAAGUGGAGAAUGUUGGAGCCAGAUUUUAAAAUCCUUGUCUUCCUUCUGCGUGCUACUUGAUCUAAAUGAGAUACGGCAAAGUCACAGAACCUGUUUUUAUGUUUUUGCCUGAUUCAUACGGGCUUCUCCGGUGAAGAUGGGCCUGAAGUAACGCUUGGGUUGCUUCUGACGUUAUAACUCAUCCUGUAGCUGCAGCAACCGUGGUCCUUGCAACCUCAUAAAAAUGUUGCCAGCAUUGUUUCGAUAGUGCUGCUUAAUUCUUGGAAGGCCUCUUUGCUUUCUUCCCUGAGGUUCUUCGGACUUCACACAUUCCAGCAGUAGCUCUCUCAGCUCCUGUCCUGCACAGCUUUGAAGUGCUGGUGAUGUCAUUGAACUCUUAAGUGCAAGAUGAAACAAGUCUUUCUGGGGUUCUAAGUAGCGUCUUCAAAGUGUCUUCUGUAAAGACUUCUUCAGACUGUCAAUAGGAAGACUGAUAAACUCAGAGACUGCAUCUCACCAUGUUGCUCAGGCUGUUCUCGAACUCCUGGGCUCAAGCAAUCCUCCUACCUCAGCCUCUCAAAGUGUUGGGAUUAUAGAUGUGAGCCACUGUACCCGGCCCUGGUUGCAUUCUUCAUUAUUAGGAACAUAAGAGUCUAGCCCUGUCGCCCAGGCUGGAGUGCCAUGGUUUGAACUCUACUCACCGCAACCUCCACCUCCCAGGUUCAAAUGAUUCUCCUGCCUCAGCCUCCUGAAUAUCUGGGAUUACAGGCUGGAGUGCGAUGGCGCGAUCUCUACUCACUGCAACCUCCAUCUCCUGGGUUCAAGCAAUUCUCCCUCAGCCUCCCGAGUAGCUAGGACUACAGAGCCUCCCUCUGGAGCGAAGUGGCAUAAUCUCGGCUCACUGCAACCUCUGCCUCCCAGGUUCAAGCGAUUCUCAUGUCUCGGCCUCUUGAGUAACUGGGAUUACAGGCUGGAGUGCAAUGGCGCGAUCUCGGCUCACUGCAACCUCCGCCUCCCGAGUUCAAGUGA